Molecule: ribosomal RNA, 537 nt
Filed under: uncultured bacterium
Lineage: Bacteria
Description: bacterial SSU rRNA
Rfam family: Bacterial small subunit ribosomal RNA
Source: RNAcentral
AGAGUUUGAUCCUGGCUCAGAAUCAACGCUGGCGGCGUGCCUAACACAUGCAAGUCGAACGCGAAAGGGGCUUCGGCCCUGAGUAGAGUGGCGAACGGGUGAGUAACACGUGGGUGACCUACCUUCGAAUGGGGGAUAACGUCCCGAAAGGGACGCUAAUACCGCAUAACAUCUUGCCUUUGAACAGGUGGAGAUCAAAGCUGGGGAUCGCAAGACCUGGCGUUUGAAGAAGGGCCCGCGUCCGAUUAGCUAGUUGGUGAGGUAAUGGCUCACCAAGGCAACGAUCGGUAGCCGGCCUGAGAGGGCGGACGGCCACACUGGGACUGAGACACGGCCCAGACUCCUACGGGAGGCAGCAGUGGGGAAUUGUUCGCAAUGGGCGCAAGCCUGACGACGCAACGCCGCGUGGAGGAUGAAGGUCUUCGGAUUGUAAACUCCUGUUGCCCGGGACGAAAUGCUUCGACCUAACACGUCGAAGUUUGACGGUACCGGGUGAGGAAGCCCCGGCUAACUCUGUGCCAGCCGCCGCGGUAAUAC